AUAUAUAUCACUCCUGGUUUUCUACGUUCCUCAUGUUCCUCAGGUUAGCUUCUCCCAGUUUAGGUUUUGUUAGUGUUUCCAGUUCAUCCCUUCGUUCCUGUACACGUAGUGUUUUGUACAGCCACCUGUCAUGGUCCCUGUGCCUCUUCGGCUGGCUCACUCCAGGCCACAUGUUGUUUUUGUUUAUGUUCCCUCGCUCUCUCCUUAUUCUCCUCUCUGCCUGGGCAGAGCUCAUUUUGGGCUCCCGCCUUUGGCCCACGCACCUGGCCUGAUUACCAGCAGCUGCUGCUCAUUGACCUGGUUUCCUGCCACUACUUGAGGUGAUGGCUGUGAGCUUCUCGUCGCUGAAUCAUUGAACUGAAUAUCCUGGACCUGUCCCUGAACCCGUUUGGAGUGUCUGGAUGAUGGAGUAGCAUGGAGUGUGGAGAAGUGUCAGCAUGAGUGGCAGAUGAGGAGUGAGUGUGCGAGCAAGAAGAGGAGAAAGGAGAGCAUGUGGAUUUCCUUCCUUCCCCCCCUGGAGCCCAGAGAUCCCCCUUUCCCUGCACCUGCACAUAUAUUGCACCAUGGACUUUAUUCCCUUCCCCACCUACCCAUCCUUGGAGCCUUUGCCCCUUUACCUUGUCUAUAUUCUGAAAAUUGCUUAUUUUAGAUAAACUUUUGAACUCUCUUUCCGUGAAGCUUGGGUCUGCACCUAACUCCGUUCCAUACGUCUUGACACCACCCAAAAUAAAGUUUAAACCUCCAUUUUGUCUGCGCUUGGGUCUGCUCUCUCUCAUCUCCACAUCAUGACACCGUUAUUCUCAUUUUAGAAUAGAAUAGAAUAGAA
Molecule: long non-coding RNA, 826 nt
Organism: Oreochromis niloticus (Nile tilapia)
Lineage: Eukaryota; Metazoa; Chordata; Actinopteri; Cichliformes; Cichlidae
Exons: 2
Source: RefSeq, a predicted model, not a curated record